Molecule: ribosomal RNA, 460 nt
Filed under: uncultured bacterium
Lineage: Bacteria
Description: partial 16S ribosomal RNA
Rfam family: Bacterial small subunit ribosomal RNA
Source: RNAcentral
CCUACGGGAGGCAGCAGUGAGGAAUAUUGGUCAAUGGCCGGAAGGCUGAACCAGCCAUGCCGCGUGCAGGUCAGUGCCCUAUGGGCGUUAAACUUCUUUUGUGCGGGAGCAAUAAUGGUCACGUGUGGCCAGACGAGAGUACCGUACGAAUAAGCAUCGGCUAACUCCGUGCCAGCAGCCGCGGUAAUACUGGGGAUGCAAGCGUUAUCCGGAUUUAUUGGGUUUAAAGGGUGCGUAGGCUGGUAGGUAAGUCAGCGGUGAAAUGCCCCCGCUCAACGGGGUGAAGUGCCAUUGAUACUGCCUUGCUAGAAUGCGGAUGCCGUAGGAGGAAUGUGUGGUGUAGCGGUGAAAUGCAUAGAGAUCACACAGAACACCGAUUGCGAAGGCAUCUCACGAAUCCGCGAUUGACGCUGAGGCACGAAAGCGUGGGUAUCAAACAGGAUUAGAUACCCGAGUAGUC